CGGUCAACCAUGUUUGACCAUCUAUAACUUCUAAUCUAUACAUGAUAUGGACUUGAUUCUUUUUGCAGAUUAAAGACCACAUAUCAGGCUACACAUAACAACUUUUGAAGAACAAAACUCAUGAUCGAGCAAAGAGUUAUGGCCUCUGACAUUUGGUGAAAAAAAUAACAGAAUUCGGUUUUUCCAACUUGCUUAAAUCUUCAAAUUCGUGCACUUUGAUGUUAUGGGUCUUUGAUUUAUCAACCCAUAUCAUCAAUUAACAUUCUAUUACACAACUUUAAACAAUCAAUUGCAUCAAAU
This 300-nucleotide long non-coding RNA is filed under the name Panax ginseng (ginseng). RNAcentral's name for it is "long non-coding RNA (PGIN_LNC017191)". Lineage: Eukaryota; Viridiplantae; Streptophyta; Magnoliopsida; Apiales; Araliaceae. The record is from RNAcentral.